GAUGAACGCUAGCGAUAGGCUUAACACAUGCAAGUCGAGGGGCAGCAUGGUCUUAGCUCGCUAAGACUGAUGGCGACCGGCGCACGGGUGCGUAACGCGUAUGCAACUUGCCUCACAGAGGGGGAUAACCCGUCGAAAGACGGACUAAUACCGCGUACACUCCAUCUUGGGCAUCCAAGGAGGAGGAAAUGAACUUCGCUGUGAGAUAGGCAUGCGUCCCAUUAGCUUGUUGGUGAGGUAACGGCUCACCAAGGCGACGAUGGGUAGGGGAACUGAGAGGUUGAACCCCCACACUGGUACUGAGACACGGACCAGACUCCUACGGGAGGCAGCAGUGAGGAAUAUUGGUCAAUGGGCGAGAGCCUGAACCAGCCAUUCGCGUGAAGGAUGACUGUCUUAUGGAUUGUAAACUUCUUUUAUACGGGAAUAACAAGAGCCACGUGUGGCUUCCCUGCAUGUACCGAUGAAUAAGC
RNAcentral lists this ribosomal RNA (473 nucleotides) under Porphyromonas sp. oral taxon 279. RNAcentral's name for it is "bacterial SSU rRNA". It matches the Rfam family "Bacterial small subunit ribosomal RNA", at positions 28 to 491 of the family's 1533-position model. The record is from RNAcentral. Lineage: Bacteria; Pseudomonadati; Bacteroidota; Bacteroidia; Bacteroidales; Porphyromonadaceae.